RNAcentral lists this ribosomal RNA (467 nucleotides) under uncultured bacterium. Its description in RNAcentral is "partial 16S ribosomal RNA". It matches the Rfam family "Bacterial small subunit ribosomal RNA", at positions 28 to 507 of the family's 1533-position model. The record is from RNAcentral.
GAUGAACGCUGGCGGCGCGCCUAACACAUGCAAGUCGAACGAUUAAAGCACCUUCGGGUGUGUAUAAAGUGGCGAACGGCUGAGUAACACGUAGGCAACCUGCCCCUUUCAUUGGGAUAGCCACGUGAAAGCGUGGAUAAUACCUAAUACUUAGUGUCUUCCGCCUGAAAGACUCAUAAAAGCCCCGGCGUCAGGGGAUGCUCGCGCGUCGUGCUAGCUUGUUGGUGAGGGAACGGCCGACCAAGGCUAUGAUGGGUAGCGGGGUUGAGAGCCCGACCAGCCAGCUUGGGCCUGCGAGACGGCGCAGACUCGUACGGGCGGCGGUAGUGGGGAACCUUGCACAAUGGGGGAAAGUCUGAUGCGGAGACGCCGCGUGCGUGAUGAAGGGCUUCGGGUUGUAAACCGAUUUCAGAAGGGACGAGGCGAAAGUGACGGUACCUGAAGAAGAAGCCACGGCUAACUACGUG